Molecule: ribosomal RNA, 264 nt
Filed under: uncultured bacterium
Lineage: Bacteria
Description: partial 16S ribosomal RNA
Rfam family: Bacterial small subunit ribosomal RNA
Source: RNAcentral
UGGCGACCGGCGCACGGGUGAGUAACACGUAUCCAACCUGCCGAUAACUCGGGGAUAGCCUUUCGAAAGAAAGAUUAAUAUCCGAUAGGAUAUCAAGAUCGCAUGAUCUUGAUAUUAAAGAAUUUCGGUUAUCGAUGGGGAUGCGUUCCAUUAGUUAGUUGGCGGGGUAACGGCCCACCAAGACGACGAUGGAUAGGGGUUCUGAGAGGAAGGUCCCCCACAUUGGAACUGAGACACGGUCCAAACUCCUACGGAAGGCAGCAG